RNAcentral lists this ribosomal RNA (465 nucleotides) under uncultured bacterium. RNAcentral's name for it is "bacterial SSU rRNA". It matches the Rfam family "Bacterial small subunit ribosomal RNA", at positions 29 to 543 of the family's 1533-position model. The record is from RNAcentral.
AACGAACGCUGGCGGCAUGCCUAACACAUGCAAGUCGAACGAGACCUUCGGGUCUAGUGGCGCACGGGUGCGUAACGCGUGGGAAUCUGCCCUUGGGUUCGGAAUAACUUCGGGAAACUGAAGCUAAUACCGGAUGAUGACGUAAGUCCAAAGAUUUAUCGCCCAAGGAUGAGCCCGCGUAGGAUUAGCUAGUUGGUGAGGUAAAGGCUCACCAAGGCGACGAUCCUUAGCUGGUCUGAGAGGAUGAUCAGCCACACUGGGACUGAGACACGGCCCAGACUCCUACGGGAGGCAGCAGUGGGGAAUAUUGGACAAUGGGUGAAAGCCUGAUCCAGCAAUGCCGCGUGAGUGAUGAAGGCCUAGGGUUGUAAAGACUCUUUUACCCGGAUGAUAAUGACAGUACCGGGAGGAAUAAGCUCCGGCUAACUCCGUGCCAGCAGCUGCGGUAAAGUAGGACUAACCUUG